UCUUGACCUUGUAAGACCUUU
RNAcentral lists this non-coding RNA (21 nucleotides) under Arabidopsis thaliana (thale cress). Lineage: Eukaryota; Viridiplantae; Streptophyta; Magnoliopsida; Brassicales; Brassicaceae. The record is from RNAcentral.